Molecule: long non-coding RNA, 203 nt
Filed under: Setaria italica (foxtail millet)
Lineage: Eukaryota; Viridiplantae; Streptophyta; Magnoliopsida; Poales; Poaceae
Description: long non-coding RNA (SITA_LNC007161)
Source: RNAcentral
AGUUAGUAAUAACACUUUCUGUAGUAGUGGGUAGCAACCAGGAUACACACAGCAAAACCCCCUCUGAUGCAACCAUUAAUGGCAGUGCUAUGUUUGGCUAACCUUGACAGUCAAGUGAAACAAGAGUAGGAAUAAUAGUGGACAAGCUGUUUCUCCUCAAGAAAUCGGCCAACAUGCCAUUCCCGUUUUUGUUCUAGCGACGC